RNAcentral lists this ribosomal RNA (484 nucleotides) under uncultured bacterium. RNAcentral's name for it is "partial 16S ribosomal RNA". It matches the Rfam family "Bacterial small subunit ribosomal RNA", at positions 29 to 507 of the family's 1533-position model. The record is from RNAcentral.
AUUGAACGCUGGCGGCAUGCUUUACACAUGCAAGUCGAACGGCAGCGCGGGCUUCGGCCUGGCGGCGAGUGGCGAACGGGUGAGUAAUACAUCGGAACGUGCCCAGUAGUGGGGGAUAGCUCGGCGAAAGCCGGAUUAAUACCGCAUACGGCCUGAGGGUGAAAGCGGGGGAUCUUCGGACCUCGCGCUAGUGGAGCGGCCGAUGGCAGAUUAGCGAGUUGGUGGGGUAAAGGCCUACCAAGGCGACGAUCUGUAGCUGGUCUGAGAGGACGACCAGCCACACUGGGACUGAGACACGGCCCAGACUCCUACGGGAGGCAGCAGUGGGGAAUUUUGGACAAUGGGCGAGAGCCUGAUCCAGCAAUGCCGCGUGUGUGAUGAAGGCCUUCGGGUUGUAAAGCACUUUUGGCGGGAACGAAAAGGACUGUGCCAAUACCACGGUUCGAUGACGGUACCCGCAGAAUAAGCACCGGCUAACUACGUG